AUGUUGAGUCCUGUUCAGGGUUCUCCGGUGGAAACGCCGAUGAGCUAAGACGGGAACAGGGUGAACCCGGCGGAAAUCCGGCAAUUCCCAGGCUGCCCCCGCAACUGUGAACGGUGAGCGUUCGUCCCAUUCUGCCACUUGGCCGCAAGGCUUGGGAAGGCGGGGCGGCGUGAUGACCCGUGAGCCAGGAGACCUGCCUUGAGCGUAACGUCCAC
This 215-nucleotide non-coding RNA is filed under the name Pannonibacter phragmitetus. The record is from RNAcentral. Lineage: Bacteria; Pseudomonadati; Pseudomonadota; Alphaproteobacteria; Hyphomicrobiales; Stappiaceae.